CUUUGGGUCCAGGAUGCCCUAACCGCCCAGUGUUCCUUUUGCUCACUGCCUGCUUGGGAAUUGAAAGAUUAAAAAAAGCACACACAUAGAAAGAGAAAGCUUACAGCAUGCCAGCACGAUUCCUCUGACACUGAGAAAAAAAAGAAGAGCAUUUCUAAAUGUUAUUUUGUUGCAAAAAGUGGAUUCAAUACAAAGGAGACUAUUCCUCCUGGGCGAGCCGCUCCAAAUCAGGCAAAACAAACAGAGCGAGAGCGACAGGCUGAGCCAAGAAGGAUGAGGAUGGGUGGCAGGACUGAGCUGGAACGAACCAUGUGCACCCUAUCUUUCUCUCUUUCUUUUUUCCCUCCCUCUAUUUUUCACACACACGCACACAACGCAUCCGCACACAAUUAGGGCGAAAGCAAGCUGUCCGAGGAGACAACAAAUUUGCUGGAACUUAGCAGAAAACAAAAAAUUGAAGGCGAGUAAAGAUUACAGUUCAGAAAGAGCAAGUAUUCCAGAGGAUAAAGAGAAGUGGAUGGGAUCGAGAACUGCGUGAGAAGAUGGAUGAAUGAAAGGUGAAAGAAAAGAGAGGUCAGAGAUGGAGUCCAUACUUUCAGCUGGCGCAACAGUGCCAGUGGAGCAUACCAGUAAACUACCUCACCGACAUGAGAAAGGAGGGGGGAGGAGAAGGUGAAAAGAGUGCUCAGCAGAUCAUCCACUCACUUUUCAUCCAGACCUGCAGGUCCAAGGCAGGUGGGCAAGAGAGAGGACAACAAAAACCCAUUCACAUGCAGAGGAGGAAGGAGGGAAGACUGGAGGAAAAAAAACAGUCUCUCCACCCUCUUCAUCUCCUCCCCCUGCCUCACUCACAUUCUACCUUUCUCUCUCAAGCUUUCCACUUUCACCUUUCUCACCCCCCUCUAUUUCUUCCUCCACGCCUUCCCGAGGGUGACAGGAUGGGGUGGAGGUGAACGGUGGAGGAAGGCAUUUGAAAAGCAGAGAAAGAGGAGAGUGAAAGAUCAUCAUUUAAUUUGCCUCACAGCUGUGAUCACUUACAGCCUGAGGCCCUCUUUUCCUCUGCAUCAGGCAAGAACGGGGAGAAAGGGAGACAUCGAGGGAGAGGAAGGAGGAAGCAGCAGCCAACCAGCCAACCGGCACAUCAAGAGACCCAGAUCUGUCAUGCCGUGGCCUACACAUCCUCAGGAAAUCAUUGCACAUGGCUGCGGCACAGCAACAGAAACAUGCAACUCUGAAGGAAAAGUUAAAGGAACCUGGAGUGGAACAGGACCUUAAGGAUUUGGAUCAUGACCAUCUUCUCAAGGACAAGCAGCAACAGGUGAGAGAACUAUGUCAAUCUGCAGUGUUUCAACAGAAACCAGGAAGAACAAGGAACAUGACUCUGUAGUACAAGAAGGUACUACAAUGUAACCCAGUAACCCAGAAAGAUUAUGUAACCCAGUGUUAAAAACACAAGUGAAAGUUUAUUAUGUAGUUUGAUGUUAAUUUUUUUGUUUCACAGGAUUGGAAAGUAUAAACAGAUUUUGUGUUUUAUUUUACUUAGAAAAAUAUAUCAAAAACUUCUAAAAAUCUUUAAAAAGCUCUGAAGUAGGCCUUUCGUGAUUGUUUUGCUGAUGGAUUGGGCAACCAAUGGCUGGCAUGGUCUGAUAUUGGGUCAGCCAAUGAGGUUGAUUGUUCCGCCCCUAUCACUACUGCGCUGUGAUUCUGCUCAGAACGCGUCAGACAAGGUUGAGAACUCACAGCUAACCAUUGUUUCUGUUAGAGCCUGAAAGAGCUUAUGUGACAGCUUCCCUUUAUGCCCGUCCCGUCAUACACACAAUGGAGGCCAGUUGGUUAAAUUUUCUGUAAUGAAUGGUCAACACAAAUUAGCACAGUGAGCUCCCCUACUGGUCCACCAGUUCUCCGCGUAUACAGUAGAGCGCUGAACAGACUGUGUCACAAACAGUUAUUACAAUCAGGCUUAACAACAUAUUUUUCUAACAGAUGAUCGUAUAGUGAUAUUUGAGUACUAAUACUUCUUUAAAAUUAAUUUAAUACAAUCUGGUCUUUCUCUUAUAAAUGAAGAAAAACCAAAAAAAAAAAAA
This is a long non-coding RNA of Poeciliopsis prolifica (blackstripe livebearer), 2084 nucleotides long. RefSeq lists it as uncharacterized. The record is from RefSeq and is a predicted model, not a curated record. The transcript is spliced from 6 exons. NCBI's taxonomy places the organism in Eukaryota, Metazoa, Chordata, Actinopteri, Cyprinodontiformes, Poeciliidae.